AUGGACCAAGCCAACGGAGGUUGCUCCCCGUGCAUGGAUGAUAUGAUACCAAUCACUGAUGUUGCACGGGAUGUCAAUUUGAAACCUCCAAAAUUCCAAUCAUCUGCUUUAUCAUAUUCUGUAGCUCAACUUGUUGCCGAUACUGAUACUAGCUUCGACUGGCGUGGCCAACGUAUUAUCUCAUCGGGCCAAUCUUUUUACAUACAGACGUAUUGGACGGCCAGGAUCGUCCUGGUGGAGCAGAGCGCAUACGCAAGAGCCAAGCUCCAAGAGCACGGCCCGACUAAACAAGCAACGGGGAAUAGUCGCUCGUGUCGCCCAGAAGAUGAGCGCGUUGUGAUCAACCACAGCGUGGGAGUCGUCAGACCAGCAGCAGAGUCGCGCAGGGAUAAGCCAUCCAUCCAGCACGGGACGGGGAUCUGGGAUCUCUUCCCAUCAUCUCCCACGCCCAACCACCGGCGGACCUACCAGAUUCCGGGAGGUCCCCUCCUCCGCCUACCCUGCGGCCGCGCGUUUCGAUUGGUCGGCUCUCCUCCUUCCACUUAG
RNAcentral lists this ribosomal RNA (546 nucleotides) under Triticum aestivum (bread wheat). RNAcentral's name for it is "partial small subunit ribosomal RNA". The record is from RNAcentral. Lineage: Eukaryota; Viridiplantae; Streptophyta; Magnoliopsida; Poales; Poaceae.